RNAcentral lists this unclassified non-coding RNA (218 nucleotides) under Hevea brasiliensis (rubber tree). The record is from RNAcentral. Lineage: Eukaryota; Viridiplantae; Streptophyta; Magnoliopsida; Malpighiales; Euphorbiaceae.
AUAUUAAAAAUGGCUGAAGGAAAAGGGAAAAUUUCAGAGACUAAGAUACUAUGACUGAAAAUCCUUCUUUAUAAAUCAGUCCCAUAAAGCCAGAUGGUACUAAUUAUCUUGCAUGGUUAAGAUCUUGUUUGUUAUUUAUGCAGGCUAGAGGACUACAAGGAUAUGUCACUGAAGAUGAAACAAAACCGGCAGUAAGAGUACCACUUAUAGUCAAUGGG